AAGAUAAAAUUUAAAGAACAUUAACAAAAUUAACAACUCUACAGUAAUUAACAAACAAUAAAUUUUAAAAAACAACAAAAAAAGAAAAAACAAAUCUUAGCAAUUGAAUUAAAAAAACAAUUAACAAAUCAUAAAAUUUAAAAAGCGACAACAAAGCCAAUAACUCUUAACAAUCGAACUCAAAAAAUGGUAAUUAACAAACCAAAAAUUCUAGCGAGAACCUAAUGCUGGGACACUACAACUCUUAAAUCAGGCAAGGGGAACUGAUUUGGUCUUGACAAUGGUGAAAUCAGCAGGUGUGCCACUCCUUUCUCUCCCAUCGCUAGCCUUUCUUCCUCUUUCUCUCUGUAAAAGUGCUCCCUAGAGGCCUUUUUUGUCUCCAGAUGCUUUUUCCUUUUCCCAGGGGGAGCAGUCUACGCUUCUCAUUUACUUUCAAAGCCUCGUUUUUAUUGUAACAAGACCCAGUGCCACUUGCUCUAUUUCCUGUACAUGUAUCCAUAAGCUUUACUUUGUUUGCUUUUUUGAGUUCCUCCAUCUUGUAAUAGCGCGUAUUUUCCAUUCACUUUUUGGAUAUUUAUCAUAAAUUAACCCC
RNAcentral lists this long non-coding RNA (592 nucleotides) under Theobroma cacao (cacao). RNAcentral's name for it is "long non-coding RNA (TCAC_LNC005448)". The record is from RNAcentral. Lineage: Eukaryota; Viridiplantae; Streptophyta; Magnoliopsida; Malvales; Malvaceae.